RNAcentral lists this unclassified non-coding RNA (642 nucleotides) under uncultured Bradyrhizobium sp. RNAcentral's name for it is "partial 16S-23S ribosomal RNA intergenic spacer". The stretch from base 522 to 642 matches the Rfam family "Bacterial large subunit ribosomal RNA", at positions 1 to 121 of the family's 2925-position model. Lineage: Bacteria; Pseudomonadati; Pseudomonadota; Alphaproteobacteria; Hyphomicrobiales; Nitrobacteraceae. The record is from RNAcentral.
CGGAGUUCAGUCUUCCCAGGCCCACCACUUUCAUCGAGUGAGCAUUCGUCUUCUGGUUACGGGGCCAUAGCUCAGCUGGGAGAGCGCGUGCUUUGCAAGCAUGAGGUCGUCGGUUCGAUCCCGUCUGGCUCCACCAGAUGGUUUGAUCACCGAGAUCUUGUACCGUCGUCCGCGAAACAUCACUUCGCAUCCUGCUAGUCUGGAUAGACAGCAAGAUGCGUGUUUUCUGACAUCGUAAAGAGGAGAUCGAUCCGAGUUGGGUCGUGCAGCGGAUUGUUGCGCGAAUCCUUCAUUAUCUCCGGAUCAUUUUCGGCGCUCGCUUUCAGCCGUGAGGUUGAAUGCGAGUUGUAAAAUGAUCCUUUUAGCGAAGCUUGACCGCCUCGCUAUCGGAACGAUCUUACGAAGCAAGCUGGUCUUUCUAGUCAAUGUCCGGCUGUGCGUAGCGUUCAUCGAGGGCGCGUGCCGUAAGGCAAUCGUACAGACAACAUUCUGCCGAGUGUGUGGACAUUGAUAAUGAGAGCAAUCAAGUGCCUUAAGGGUGUUCGGUGGAUGCCUUGGCGCUGAGAGGCGAUGAAGGACGUGCUACGCUGCGAUAAGCCGUGGGGAGCUGCGAAGAAGCUUUGAUCCGCGGAUUUCCGAUGG